This 255-nucleotide ribosomal RNA is filed under the name uncultured bacterium. RNAcentral describes it as "partial 16S ribosomal RNA". It matches the Rfam family "Bacterial small subunit ribosomal RNA", at positions 524 to 776 of the family's 1533-position model. The record is from RNAcentral.
UACGAAGGGUGCAAGCGUUACUCGGAAUUACUGGGCGUAAAGCGUGCGUAGGUGGUUUGUUAAGUCUGUUGUGAAAGCCCCGGGCUCAACCUGGGAAUGGCAAUGGAUACUGGCAGGCUAGAGUGCGGGUAGAGGGUAGUGGAAUUCCCGGUGUAGCGGUGAAAUGCGCAGAUAAUCAGGAGGAACACCGGUGGCGAAGGCGGCGAUCUGGGUCGAUACUGACGCUGAGGUGCGAAAGCGUGGGGAGCAAACAGG